Long non-coding RNA from Thalassophryne amazonica, 139 nucleotides. RefSeq lists it as uncharacterized. The record is from RefSeq and is a predicted model, not a curated record. Lineage: Eukaryota; Metazoa; Chordata; Actinopteri; Batrachoidiformes; Batrachoididae. The transcript is spliced from 2 exons.
UUUUUUGCUUUAUACAUGGUUUGUAUUGUAAUAUAAUCAACUAAUCCCUGAAUUUCAGAAUAUUCAAACAAAUAAAUAGUGGGUUUGUCGGCUCACGGUAAGGUUUAAUACUGAUAAUUCUUAUGGCUUUCUUUUGCAA